AGUGAACGCUGGCGGUAGGCCUAACACAUGCAAGUCGAACGGCAGCACAGUAAGAGCUUGCUCUUACGGGUGGCGAGUGGCGGACGGGUGAGGAAUACAUCGGAAUCUACUUUUUCGUGGGGGAUAACGUAGGGAAACUUACGCUAAUACCGCAUACGACCUACGGGUGAAAGCAGGGGAUCUUCGGACCUUGCGCGAUUGAAUGAGCCGAUGUCGGAUUAGCUAGUUGGCGGGGUAAAGGCCCACCAAGGCGACGAUCCGUAGCUUGUCUGAGAGGAUGAUUAGCCAAACUGGAACUGAGAAACGGUCCAGACUCCUACGGGAGGCAGCAGUGGGGAAUAUUGGACAAUGGGCGCAAGCCUGAUCCAGCCAUACCGCGUGGGUGAAGAAGGCCUUCGGGUUGUAAAGCCCUUUUGUUGGGAAAGAAAAGCAGCAGGUUAAUACCCCGCUGUUCUGACGGUACCCAAAGAAUAAGCACCGGCUAACUUCGUG
RNAcentral lists this ribosomal RNA (492 nucleotides) under uncultured bacterium. RNAcentral's name for it is "partial 16S ribosomal RNA". It matches the Rfam family "Bacterial small subunit ribosomal RNA", at positions 29 to 507 of the family's 1533-position model. The record is from RNAcentral.